RNAcentral lists this transfer RNA (71 nucleotides) under Loxodonta africana (African savanna elephant). It matches the Rfam family "tRNA". From Rfam's summary of the family: Transfer RNA (tRNA) molecules are approximately 80 nucleotides in length. Their secondary structure includes four short double-helical elements and three loops (D, anti-codon, and T loops). The record is from Rfam by way of RNAcentral. Lineage: Eukaryota; Metazoa; Chordata; Mammalia; Proboscidea; Elephantidae.
GCAGUGGUGGUUCAGUAGUAGAAUUCUUACCUUCCACGAGGGAGUCCUAGGUUUGAUUCCCAGUCAAUGUG